AAACUGGUUAGGAAGGCUGGCUCCAUCAUCGGCUGCCAGCUGGAGCUCCUGGAACAGGUGGUGGAGAGGAGGACGUUGAAGAAACUGGUGUCCAUAUUGGACAACCCGGACCACCCUCUCCACCACCUCCUACAGGGACAGAGGAGUACUUUCUCCAGACGUCUCCUCACGCUCCGCUGCCACAAGGACAGAUACAGGAGAACAUUCCUGCCGACGGCUAUGAGGCUCUACAACAGUUCACCUCUUGCCAGAUCACCCUAACCCUUCUUAUAUUUUGUGUUUUGUUUUUUUAUUCUUGUGUGUUGCUGCUACUGGCUCGACAAAUUUCCCCUUGGGGAUUAAUAAAGUAUAUAUCUAUCUAUCUAUCUAUCUAUGCCACCAAAGGGUCCUGAUCGGGGACUCUGAUGACCUUCUGGACGUGUCCCACACCUCCAUUGGGACCCUGACGGUGCUGAAGACAUCGUGGCCUCCUCACUCGCUGGACCUGGAGUCUACAGCUACUGCCGUUGUUUUGGGAGGAGCAGUCGUGAUGGGUGACCGUGAUGAUCUUCCCCAUGCCCUGUGGCUACUCUUCGGACUUAUUUACCCCUGAAUUUGGAGUAUCCUCAACGAGUGAGGAACACCUUCUGAAUUUAUUCAUAGAGUGCUUCUCACUUGGACCAAAAACCCUAAAAUACAAUCACUCAAAAAUCUACUGAUGCCAUAAGGGACUGUGUUCAUGAUGUGCAGUCAGGCCCGAGAACUUCACCCUUCUAUCUCCAAUAGAACUCUUUUAUAGAAAAUGUCUGUUUUUGUUGUUUUUCUGUCGUGAAAUUUAGCAAAUGCCGAAAACGCUGUGUUCAUCAUAUUUCUGCGUUACAAAACCUAAUCUGGCAACAUGUUCAGCGUUUUAAGCACGUUGUUUGAGUUUUAAAACAUGUGUUUUUCUUCUAAAUAAACGUUGUCUUCCAUUGUAA
Molecule: long non-coding RNA, 956 nt
Organism: Pseudoliparis swirei
Lineage: Eukaryota; Metazoa; Chordata; Actinopteri; Perciformes; Liparidae
Exons: 2
Source: RefSeq, a predicted model, not a curated record